Molecule: long non-coding RNA, 267 nt
Filed under: Elaeis guineensis (African oil palm)
Lineage: Eukaryota; Viridiplantae; Streptophyta; Magnoliopsida; Arecales; Arecaceae
Description: long non-coding RNA (EGUI_LNC081003)
Source: RNAcentral
UCCCAAAAGUAUUUGCAUAUUAUACCUUUAAGGAAUCCUCCUUGCUUAGUUUUCUCUUCUAGUUCAAUUCCCAAUCCAUUACAACAUUCUAAUCCAACAUGAUAUAAACCAUCUACCUCUUCGCUAUCUAAUUACUAGAAUCCUCCAUGUGCAAUGCAUGUGCUGUAAAAGGAACUUGGAUGGGAGGCUUUGAGAAUCGGCUUAGACUCAUUCAUCUCCUUGUUUCUUUGAAGGUGCGAAAUGGAGUGAUAUAAGGGGAAAACUAGG